Ipomoea nil (Japanese morning glory) is the source of this 364-nucleotide long non-coding RNA. RefSeq lists it as uncharacterized. The transcript has 3 exons. NCBI's taxonomy places the organism in Eukaryota, Viridiplantae, Streptophyta, Magnoliopsida, Solanales, Convolvulaceae. The record is from RefSeq and is a predicted model, not a curated record.
UGUAAGACAAGAAGACUAACCGAUGCAGAGUAUUUGGCAGCACAUACUUAUAUAUUGCUUAAUUGUGAGGAAGUACAACCUUACAUUGCUUUAUAUGAAGAGAUGUUGAAGGAACUUGAUCCCAGGAUAAGUGAGUUAGAACUUGCAACACAACUACAACAAAAUUUUGGUUCUUGGUUUGAAAAUUAUGCACGCCAAAAUGAAAUAGAGAACAAGUAUAUAUGUGAUUUGUCAAAAAGGCCACUGAGAACUGUGAAAUCGUAUCCUGUGUAUUUUGUCAACGGGUAUAGAUUUCACACAGAGUCACAUGGUGAGAAUAAAUCAACAAUGAAUAGUGGUGUUUGUGUAAGUAGCACAUGUGAUG